CAGUAGCCGCGGUAAUACGUAGGUCCCGAGCGUUGUCCGGAUUUAUUGGGCGUAAAGCGAGCGCAGGCGGUUAGAUAAGUCAGAAGUUAAAGGCUGUGGCUUAACCAUAGUAUGCUUUGGAAACUGUUUAACUUGAGUGCAAGAGGGGAGAGUAGAAUUCCAUGUGUAGCGGUGAAAUGCGUAGAUAUAUGGAGGAACACCGGUGGCGAAAGCGGCUCUCUGGCUUGUAACUGACGCUGAGGCUCGAAAGCGUGGGGAGCAAACAGGAUUAGAUACCCCUGUAGUCCCUGUCUCUUAUACA
RNAcentral lists this ribosomal RNA (301 nucleotides) under uncultured bacterium. RNAcentral describes it as "partial 16S ribosomal RNA". It matches the Rfam family "Bacterial small subunit ribosomal RNA", at positions 509 to 808 of the family's 1533-position model. The record is from RNAcentral.